This is a long non-coding RNA of Frieseomelitta varia, 690 nucleotides long. RefSeq lists it as uncharacterized. The transcript is spliced from 2 exons. The record is from RefSeq and is a predicted model, not a curated record. NCBI's taxonomy places the organism in Eukaryota, Metazoa, Arthropoda, Insecta, Hymenoptera, Apidae.
CGCGCAUGUGAGAGCGACAAGUACAACACAACAUAUGAGCGGACAAUACUCGCAACAAUAUUGUACAAUGGAUCUGAUUGGAAUUGCUUUUUCCAGAGACUCUGGAAAUAGAACUGUAGUUAUUUUUUUUUUUUAACUUUAUACCGUGAUAAAACCUGAGCAAGAUACAAGGGUGCUUGCUAACUGCCAUAAGAGAACGCUCCCCUAUGCACCGAAUAUGCUAGGUUGCAAGUCUCCUUUUAAUUUCCCCCAACAAGCUACGGUACUUUGUCAACAGUUAAAAAAAAAGCUUUUCAAACGCAAAAUAAAAUAUAUGUACUUCUUUUUUCCGUUUUAGUUCUAGAACAUACUUGAAAGAAUAAUAAACUAAACACUUUUGUAAGACACGCACUUUUAUUUCUACAUUUUAGGAAAGAAUUCUUAACCACGAUUAAAAUCUUUAUCCUUUUAUAGAGAAAUAUACUAUUGGAAUAUAUUAGUUAUUCUUAAUAUUCAUGUGUUAAGUAAGAAAUAUAUUAUUCAUUCAAAUGAUAUUGUAAAGAUGCAAUUACUUGUUAAUGUCUUAUUCAACCAAAUCGAUAUGAAUAUUUAACACACGGGGAAAAAAAAUUCAUAAUGUCGCCUUACUGCAAGUAGUUGGGCGGAUGUAGACUCGAGAGAAGGAAAAUAAACAUUUUAAUUUUCAAUCUU